CCAAAAGAAAGUAGACACAAGGGCGCUCAAAUUAGUUGCUAAAUAAGAUGUCAAUCUAAUACAAGUUUAACAGUCUGAGACCAGAGCAGAGAAGAACUCUAAAUAUGAAAUCUGCACACAUCCGUGAUACUAGCCAGGUAACUCAUACUGAAAAAAUAAAGGCUCUAGCGUGGUAGUUUCAAGCCUUCUACUUAGUGGAACAUCUUUCAAGACAUCCGAUGCCCAGACCCCAGACCAAUGGCUUCAAUUAGAUAAAGUAACAGGAAAUAUGAUAACAUGAUCAACAAAGCGGAAAAGAGUGACUCGAGGGAAAUAAAAAUAUAAAUCAAGCAAGAAGUACAUCUAAUCCGAUUGUGUAGAUAGUUUGGCCGAGUAGUACAGAUAAAUAACUCAAGGAGUCGGCCACCAUCAAUAACUUCUGUAGAUUGCAUAGAUUCACGUAGGUGGGGAAAGAGUAAGGAAAGGGUUCUUUUUCUUUUCUAUUUGGAGGAAGCUCUACUAAAAUGUGCUAAUAAACAGCUCAUGAUCCAAAUAAAACAAUCCUCCAAGAGAAUGACAAGAACUGCGACCCUUGAUCAUAAAGAACAUGGAGGAUAGAGUAGCCAGAUAUCAUCUUCAAGAGACAAUUUCGAUAUCACGUUCCUUAAAAGAAUGAGGUUGGUAAUCCUAUAUGAUAAAGCAGUACUAAUAGUUAAACGUUCAUUUAAAGGUAAAAGGCGCUCUGCAAUGGCCUGAAAAGAGAAUAAUACAUUAGCAUAUGCAGCAAAGACCUUUUCCCAAAAAAUGUGCUAUGAAAGUUACUACAAGCUCCCUGGGUGAACUUUUAAGUUACAAUACUAUUCGCUUUUACAACAAAGAGAUGCACCACUUGCUAAUAUAGCACUUCGAAAGAACAAAGUUGAAAAGCUCUUAUUUAUUCUUUAGCAUCUAUGACAGUCUACAUCUCAUCUUCUUCAACAAAUCCUCCUUGAGACAUAGGAGCACACACUACCAAAACUAAGUUACAGCUGAUAAUAAUCAAUCUAUACUGUCAAACUUAAGAUGACAGGUCAAACUGGAGUCUCUUUCUUAUGUACGCAGGCAUGCCAUUCCAAACAAUAUCAGGUGAUUAUCUGAUGCCUCACCAACAUGUGGAGAGCAAAAUAUGACACAAACUAUGCGAAUAAACAUAAAGAGAGAAUCUUAUUAUGGCACA
Solanum lycopersicum (tomato) is the source of this 1195-nucleotide long non-coding RNA. RefSeq lists it as uncharacterized. NCBI's taxonomy places the organism in Eukaryota, Viridiplantae, Streptophyta, Magnoliopsida, Solanales, Solanaceae. The record is from RefSeq and is a predicted model, not a curated record.